GGUACCCAGGCUAUAUGAAUAAUGAUCUAAUUGGACUGAUUGCUUCCCUUAUUCCCACUCCAAGGCUUCAUUUUCUCAUGACUGGCUAUACUCCGCUUACGACAGAUCAAUCAGUGGCAAGUAUACGUAAAACUACAGUCCUGGAUGUCAUGCGAAGACUGUUGCAACCAAAGAAUGUGAUGGUGUCCACUGGCAGAGA
Long non-coding RNA from Amblyraja radiata (thorny skate), 199 nucleotides. RefSeq lists it as uncharacterized. The transcript is spliced from 2 exons. The record is from RefSeq and is a predicted model, not a curated record. Lineage: Eukaryota; Metazoa; Chordata; Chondrichthyes; Rajiformes; Rajidae.